GACGAACGCUGGCGGCGUGCUUAACACAUGCAAGUCGAACGGAAAGGCCCUGCUUUUGUGGGGUGCUCGAGUGGCGAACGGGUGAGUAACACGUGAGUAACCUGCCCUUGUCUUUGGGAUAACUUCAGGAAACUGGGGCUAUUACCGGAUAGGAGCUCCUGCUGCAUGGUGGGGGUUGGAAAGUUUCGGCGGUUGGGGAUGGACUCGCGGCUUAUCAGCUUGUUGGUGGGGUAGUGGCUUACCAAGGCUUUGACGGGUAGCCGGCCUGGGAGGGUGACCGGCCACAUUGGGACUGAGAUACGGCCCAGAAUCCUACGGGAGGCAGCAGUGGAGAAUAUUGCACAAUGGGCGGAAGCCUGAUGCAGCAACGCCGCGUGCGGGAUGACGGCCUUCGGGUUGUAAACCGCUUUCGCCUGUGACGAAGCGUGAGUGACGGUAAUGGGUAAAGAAGCACCGGCUAACUACGUG
RNAcentral lists this ribosomal RNA (468 nucleotides) under uncultured bacterium. RNAcentral's name for it is "partial 16S ribosomal RNA". It matches the Rfam family "Bacterial small subunit ribosomal RNA", at positions 28 to 507 of the family's 1533-position model. The record is from RNAcentral.